GUAAGGGAUAUUGCACAAUGGGGGAAACCCUGAUGCAGCAACGCCGCGUGGGCGAAGAAGGCCUUCGGGUUGUAAAGCCCUUUUCUAUGGGAAGAGCAAGGACGGUACCAUAGGAACAAGUCUCGGCUAACUACGUGCCAGCAGCCGCGGUAAGACGUAGGAGGCGAGCGUUAUCCGGAUUUAUUGGGCGUAAAGGGCAAGUAGGCGGUAAGGAAAGUCAGGUGUGACAUCUCCCGGCUCAACUGGGAGGGAGCGCUUGAAACUACUUUACUUGAGGGCAGAAGAGGGGGGUGGAACUUCUAGUGUAGCGGUGGAAUGCUCAGAGACUAGGAAGAACACCAGUGGCGAAGGCGACCCCCUGGUCUGCACCUGACGCUGAGAGGCGAAAGCUAGGGGAGCGAACGGGCUUAGAAACCCGGGUAGUCC
RNAcentral lists this ribosomal RNA (426 nucleotides) under uncultured bacterium. RNAcentral describes it as "bacterial SSU rRNA". It matches the Rfam family "Bacterial small subunit ribosomal RNA", at positions 354 to 796 of the family's 1533-position model. The record is from RNAcentral.